RNAcentral lists this ribosomal RNA (1339 nucleotides) under Photobacterium angustum. RNAcentral describes it as "bacterial LSU rRNA". It matches the Rfam family "Bacterial large subunit ribosomal RNA", at positions 192 to 1583 of the family's 2925-position model. The record is from RNAcentral. Lineage: Bacteria; Pseudomonadati; Pseudomonadota; Gammaproteobacteria; Vibrionales; Vibrionaceae.
ACUGAAACAUCUAAGUACCCCGAGGAAGAGAAAUCAACCGAGAUUCCGGUAGUAGCGGCGAGCGAAACCGGAUUAGCCCUUAAGCUAGUUUUGCGUUAGGUGAAAGUUCUGGAAAGUUCUGCGAUACAGGGUGAUAGCCCCGUAACCGACAACGCAUUAUCAGUGAAAACGAGUAGGACGGGACACGUGAUAUCCUGUUUGAAUAUGGGGGGACCAUCCUCCAAGGCUAAAUACUCCUGACUGACCGAUAGUGAACCAGUACCGUGAGGGAAAGGCGAAAAGAACCCCUGUGAGGGGAGUGAAAUAGAACCUGAAACCGUGUACGUACAAGCAGUAGGAGCCUACUUGUUAGGUGACUGCGUACCUUUUGUAUAAUGGGUCAGCGACUUAAUUUUAGUAGCAAGGUUAACCGUUUAGGGGAGCCGUAGGGAAACCGAGUCUUAACUGGGCGAAAUAGUUGCUAGGAUUAGACCCGAAACCGAGUGAUCUAGCCAUGGGCAGGUUGAAGGUGAGGUAACACUUACUGGAGGACCGAACCGACUAAUGUUGAAAAAUUAGCGGAUGACUUGUGGCUAGGGGUGAAAGGCCAAUCAAACUCGGAGAUAGCUGGUUCUCCCCGAAAGCUAUUUAGGUAGCGCCUCGGACGAAUACUACUGGGGGUAGAGCACUGUUAAGGCUAGGGGGUCAUCCCGACUUACCAACCCUUUGCAAACUCCGAAUACCAGUAAGUACUAUCCGGGAGACACACGGCGGGUGCUAACGUCCGUCGUGAAGAGGGAAACAACCCAGACCGCCAGCUAAGGUCCCAAAGUUAUAGCUAAGUGGGAAACGAUGUGGGAAGGCUCAGACAGCCAGGAUGUUGGCUUAGAAGCAGCCAUCAUUUAAAGAAAGCGUAAUAGCUCACUGGUCGAGUCGGCCUGCGCGGAAGAUUUAACGGGGCUAAGCUAUACACCGAAGCUGCGGCAAUGAAGUUUACUUCAUUGGGUAGGGGAGCGUUCUGUAAGCCGUUGAAGGUGAAUCGUAAGGUUUGCUGGAGGUAUCAGAAGUGCGAAUGCUGACAUGAGUAACGAUAAAGGGAGUGAAAAACUCCCUCGCCGGAAGAUCAAGGGUUCCUGUCCAACGUUAAUCGGGGCAGGGUAAGUCGACCCCUAAGGCGAGGCCGAAAGGCGUAGUCGAUGGGAAACGGGUUAAUAUUCCCGUACUUCUUAUAAUUGCGAUGGAGGGACGGAGAAGGCUAGGUGAGCCUGGCGACGGUUGUCCAGGUCCAAGUAUGUAGGCUGAUGGUUUAGGCAAAUCCGGACCAUCUUAAGGCUGAGAUACGAUGUCGAGUUACUACGGU